AUUAGGGAUGUUAACGAGUCGAACUCAGAAUGGGUUUUCAAAAACUCGAACCCAAACCUGCUAAACCAAAUUUGAAUCCCAAACCCAAAUCCAACAGAUUUAAAUUAAAAUCCAUAUUCAAAUCCGAACCCAAAAAUUCGAACUCAAAACAAUUAUUUCUUUUUACCGUAUUUCAAAACAUAUUAUAUUAAAUCUAAAUUUUUAAAAUAUAAAUUCAAAUAUAAUUAGGAUUUGGGUCAAGUUCGGGUUCAAGUUGGGUACAGACUAAAUUCAUAUCCGAAUUCAACAUCAGUUGGGUUUUCUUUUUUUAUACCCGUAUCCAAAACUAUAUCUAUUUAGCCAGUGACGAAGUUAGGACUUGAUUACGAGAGGGCCAAAAUACAUAUAAAUUAAAAUUUUAGCAAGUAAAUAAAAUAUACCUAAUUAAAAUUUUGAUGAGAAAAUAUAUAACCUAAAUUGUUAGUGUAAAAAAAACAUUACCUUUUUUUUUAUUUAGACUUACUUAACUUUUAAUUAUUUUAUUUAUAUUAUUUCACUCAAAUAAUUUUAAAAUUUACUAAAUCUAAAAGUAAUUCAGUUAAUAAUUUAAUUUCUUAAUUUUUACUAAAUACAAUUGUGAUAAUUGAUUAUUAUUAGUUGACUAAGCUAUUAACUUUAAUAUAAUUUUUUUAAUUAAAUAAAAAUUUAUCUAAAAUAAUUAGAAAUUAUGAAAGUAUGUACUAAACAACAAAAAUUAAAAUAAAUUUAGAGUUGAGAAAGUAUUAUGUUCAUGCCGGAACUUUUUUAAAAGAUAGGUCGGUCAAAUAUACUUUAGAGAUUAAAGUAAAAUAAAUCCUUGAAAUUUUUUAUAUGAAAAGGAUAUAUGUGCAAAUUUUGAAAAUCUUGGUGGGGGAGGGCAUGGCCCCCUCAGCCCACAUAUAGCUCCGCCCCUAGCAUCAAUAUAUUCGCUCUGUUCGGUUACGUAUUCAGAUAAAAUUUCAGAUAUCCACACACGACGACGCGUACGAUCACCGGGAGGUGACGGAUUCGGGCUCUUCUCACUAUUUAUACCUAACAACCUGAUAAGCUAGGUGGAGUGUGUCACCACAACUCACAAGAGAAGUGCUAUUUUUGAGUUACUGAGAAAGGAGAGUCACAUCUUAUUAAUAUCAUCAUAUAAUUUUGGUUCUUCAUUUUCACAUAUAUUAGAGCAUGGAUCCUUACCAGGUUUGGCCUUUUACCAUUAUUAUUUUUUAAUUUUUUUUUUCAUUUUAUGUAGAAUAUAUUAUAUAUAUAUAUAUAUAUAUAUAUAUAUAUAUAUAUAUAUAUAUAUAUAUAUAUAUAUAUAUAUAUAUAUAUAUGUGUGUGUGUAGUUUAAUUAAGGAUCUUUCUUGAGUUUAAUGUUGAAGUUAUGGGGCACUAAAAAUAAGUAUAUAUUUAGUUCAUCAGUGUUUUUCAGUUUGCAGCGAUGCGAUCGUGUUCGUAGCUAUCGUUUUAAACGAACUAGAUUUGAUUUUUACAAAAGCAACUGUUUUGUAAAUGAAAUGAAAUAGUAUGAAGAUUAAACCAUGCACGCGCCGCGGAUUUAUUUAUUUUUUAAUUAGCUAAAUGAUUGAUCAACAAACUAAUUUAUUUAAUUAAGAUGUGCAUCUCUUUUGUAUUUGAAAUACUUUGUUAUUUUAGAGCGUCACACUACGUAAGUUCUCUGAAUCAAUGUUCUGCUCUGAUCGAUUUGAUCUAAAAUGUUUAGAAUAUUCAGAAAGUAAAUUAUGUAAUUUCUUAGAAUUAUUUAUUUAGUGAUGAAAAGGAUUCAAAAUUAAUUAUUAAUAUAUCGUUAAACUUGUAAUCAAUUACAUAGGCUGUUAAAAUUAUUAUUUUUGAAUCUUUUCGAUCAUUAGUUAAAUAAUAUAAAAAAAAACUAUAAAAUUUAUUUUUAUAAAUAUUUUAAAUAAUCUAAACCAUAUCUAGUGAAACUUAUCUUCAACUCAAAAUUUUCAUAAUUAAAAAUAAUUUAAAAGUACUUAAAGCAUCGUACUCUUUAAAGCACUUCAAUUAAACUAUAUAUAUAAAUACGAAUAAUUGCAUAUGUACUCCUCAAAAUUUCAAAAAUAUCUUAUUUAUUCUUACUUUUUUUUUUUCUUUUCAAUAUAUCCCUUAUAUAUUCCUCCGUUAUUCUAAAACACCGCUACAGUUACCACCAGUUAAAUUAACUUAGUUUAAACGUGAGUUAAAUAUAUGUUAAAAUUAAAAAAAAUAAAAUAUCUCUUUUGUCCUUAAUUUAAAAACAAAUAAGAAAUAUUGGUGAUGAUAGAGGGUAUAUUUGAAAAGACCAAAAGUCAAAAUACUUUUUGUAUCCCUAACUUAGGAGCAAAUAAAAAAAGUCGAUGAUGGUAGAAGGGUAUAUUUAAAAGGACAAAAUAGUAAUUUUAUACCGAUAACAGUUAUUAUUAAUAGUUUAUUAAUAUAAUUUAACUCUAAAAAUAAAUUUAAAUGUAAAAACUGUAUUUUCAAUAUUAAACUUCUAAGAUAUGUAAAUUAGAAAAUCGAAAAUUUUUCCUAAACUAUAUAUAUAUAUAUAUAUAUAUAUAUAUAUAUAUAUAUAGAGUCCGGCUAUGGUGAUUGUAAAAGUACCAAGUAUUUGGUGCUUGUAAAUUUUUUACCGUUAGAUCUAUGCCUUUGAUCAUUUUCAUCCGUUAGAUUAUACUAUUCAACCAACCACCCACUCAACCCUAGGGGGCCCACAUCAUCUUAACCGCACAUCCCUUAAUCNCCUCUUAUAUUAUACUGUUAUAAUUUUUGGAGGAACAUAUUUGCUGUGGUAAAAUUGAAAAUAUAAACAGUUUUCUAACGGUUCUCUAACGAUAAUAAAUCAGAAGGAUAAAUCUGAAAAUAUUAGAAGUUUUGUAAUAAUAAUUUAUAAAAGUUAAAUUUUAUAAGAAUAUAUUUAUAAUUUACUAUAUUUUCAGAGACCUAUAUAUAAUUAACCCUAUAUUUUUAAUAAGUAUGUAUAAAAAAAUCCCAAUUUAUAUAUUAAUUUAAGAGGGUGGGAUAUUAUUGUCACCGUCCUGCAAUAAUGCACAUAAGAAUUAGGGAUGUUAACGAGUCGAACUCAGAAUGGGUUUUCAAAAACUCGAACCCAAACCUGCUAAACCAAAUUUGAAUCCCAAACCCAAAUCCAACAGAUUUAAAUUAAAAUCCAUAUUCAAAUCCGAACCCAAAAAUUCGAACUCAAAACAAUUAUUUCUUUUUACCGUAUUUCAAAACAUAUUAUAUUAAAUCUAAAUUUUUAAAAUAUAAAUUCAAAUAUAAUUAGGAUUUGGGUCAAGUUCGGGUUCAAGUUGGGUACAGACUAAAUUCAUAUCCGAAUUCAACAUCAGUUGGGUUUUCUUUUUUUAUACCCGUAUCCAAAACUAUAUCUAUUUAG
This 3403-nucleotide long non-coding RNA is filed under the name Ananas comosus (pineapple). RNAcentral's name for it is "long non-coding RNA (ACOM_LNC012575)". Lineage: Eukaryota; Viridiplantae; Streptophyta; Magnoliopsida; Poales; Bromeliaceae. The record is from RNAcentral.